RNAcentral lists this small RNA (117 nucleotides) under Pongo abelii (Sumatran orangutan). RNAcentral's name for it is "Metazoan signal recognition particle RNA (ENSPPYG00000039043.1)". The record is from Rfam by way of RNAcentral. Lineage: Eukaryota; Metazoa; Chordata; Mammalia; Primates; Hominidae.
GCCAGGCAUGGUGGCUCACGCCUGUAAUCCCAGCACUUUGGGAGGCCGAGGUGGGUGGAUCACCUGAGGUCAGGAGUUCGAGACCAGCCUGACCAACAUGGUGAAACCCCAUCUCUA